UGGGGAAUAUUGGGCAAUGGGCGAAAGCCUGACCCAGCGACGCCGCGUGAGGGAAGAAGGUCUUCGGAUUGUAAACCUCUUUCAGCAGGGAAGAAGAAAGUGACGGUACCUGCAGAAGAAGUCACGGCUAACUACGUGCCAGCAGCCGCGGUAAUACGUAGGUGGCGAGCGUUAUCCGGAAUUACUGGGUGUAAAGGGUGUGUAGGCGGGAGUGCAAGUCAGACGUGAAAACUAUGGGCUCAACCCAUAACGUGCGUUUGAAACUGUGCUUCUUGAGAGUGGGAGAGGUAAACGGAAUUCCUG
This 303-nucleotide ribosomal RNA is filed under the name uncultured bacterium. Its description in RNAcentral is "bacterial SSU rRNA". It matches the Rfam family "Bacterial small subunit ribosomal RNA", at positions 355 to 672 of the family's 1533-position model. The record is from RNAcentral.